Molecule: long non-coding RNA, 1086 nt
Organism: Macadamia integrifolia
Lineage: Eukaryota; Viridiplantae; Streptophyta; Magnoliopsida; Proteales; Proteaceae
Exons: 3
Source: RefSeq, a predicted model, not a curated record
UAUCUUUUUACAUCAAAUUCGAAUUAAAAUUUUUGAAAUUCAAAUUAAGUGAAAGACACCCAUACUUACAUGAACAGACACCUAUUUGUAUUAUGCAUACACUUGUACAUGUAAAGAUACCCUUUGGCAUUGGACAUGUACAUGUACAUACGGACACCUUCGCCUUAAUAGAUAGUAGAAGUCCAUAAACUAAAAGAUAUAAUUCUAGAAGUGUUUUUGGGAAAACCUCUCUGUGGGAAAAGUGCUCUCUGCCAGUGUCUUUUUCUGAGUGUUCUUAAGACAAACAAUGAUUGUUUUUAUCAAAAGCCUCUCUGUUUACUACCAUUUUCGUACACAGUAUACAUUGAGUAUUACCUUUGGUUCUCUCUAUUGCAAUCACUUAUUGGAGUUGCACUUUAAGAGAGUGGGGAGUUGUUUUAUCUUGGAGGUGAGAAUGUUGGUCAACCCCGAUUGCAUGCAAGUACAGGACGUUCAAAUACCUUAAGGAGAGUAUUCUUAUACGACUCAACUCUACAUUAUUGAAGGACUUCUGUUUAUAAUUCUGCAUAUUCGGUUUGACUUGUAUAAGACUACGGCUAGUGAUUCAAAUGAUACACAUAAUGCAAAUGGUAUCACACCAACACCCCCUAACAAUGUUGAUCCAAUACUGCCUACAAAUUUUUCUACUCCAACCAAUGUGGUAGUCGGGACACUUCAACCCAUUAUGGAGAGGAUGAAGAUUGUGGCCGAGUUUGAUAAGAUUGUCGCCGAGUUUGAUAAGAUUGACCAAUUUAAUGGUCAGAAUUUCAAACGGUGGAAACAAAUGAUGCUAUUCGCGUUGUCUCAAGUUGGGGUUACCUUUUCUUUGACAAAACUAAAGCCACAACAAACUGAAGAUUCGGUUCUUGAGCAAAAAGGCUUGCAUGGGUGGAGGCUGAUUUUCAAUGGAGUAGCAAGUAUGUGUGGGCAAAUUUUCUCAAUUUUGUUAUGGUUGAGGGAGAAGAAAUAUCACCCCAAAUUGAUAAGUUUCAAGUCUUGGUUGGUAAGUUGGCAAAAGAGAAUAUCAUUUUUCCUGAUGCAUUUGUUACCAAUUCCUUAAUUGAAAAA